RNAcentral lists this long non-coding RNA (629 nucleotides) under Androctonus crassicauda. The record is from RNAcentral. Lineage: Eukaryota; Metazoa; Arthropoda; Arachnida; Scorpiones; Buthidae.
AUCUGUCAUUUUCUAGCUUCUCCAGCUGAGACUUCUCGGAGCAUUUUCUGAAUUCACCCUAUGUUAUAUGAUCCUCAUGUAGCCGGUUCCUCCAAUGACAUAAACUCGAAUUAUAAGAAUCUAUCUUCGUGAUAACAUGACGUAUAAAUGCCACUCUAAAAGGAAAUCGUUCGUCAAUGAAGUUCUAGUUAAUAAAUCUCCAGUUUCGUUUGUUAGUAGGAACGCGAUAUAUUGAUUUUGUUUUAUCUCAUGUUGCUAGUGCACGUUAGUAAUGGCGGCUAGAAUGAGAGUGACGAAUGUUUGAUGAAAGAAUUUCUGUGUAUCGACAAAAAGAACAAUGGAACUGAUCUACCCGGGGAGAGUGUCCUAUAUCGAGAACGUAGCUUACGAUCGGCGAAUCGCCGUAAGAGAAAGCGCGACUUCGCAUGUCGCCGCCAUCUAUCGGGAAGAAAAAUAUUUAUUUGUCUUUGCUGAUUUUUUCCCCUUAUUAGGAGUUUUCUCACUUCUAUCCUUUACCCUACGGCGCUUUUUGUCUUCGGAUAACUCUGUCUUCACGUGACUCGAUGCCGGGUCCUUUCAUUGCGAAGGCCACUUCUAUACAGACUAUGCCAUGCGUUCUUUUUAGCGAU